UGCAGAUGCCCCACACCUCAUCUGUUCCCAUCUUGGCACCAUCCUACCUGCACCUCGGCAAGGAGAUUUGGUCUCAUGUUUGUCACCGCAAGCAAUUGAAACAACUGGCGUGUCUGGCAACAGAUGAAAUAAGGCAUGGAAUUUAUACUCAUAUACCUGUUACUUGUGCCAUCAAAAAAUACUUUAAAGGAGAAGGAGCAACCCAUGCUCAGGUGUUCACUUUUAAGACAUGGCCUAGUACAGAUAUGUUCUACAACUGGAAAAAAAUGGUUAUGAUUGAGGCUUAGAAGUGGAGUGCAGUGAAGAAACUUUAGGGAAGCCUGACAACCACACCCUCUGCUGAUCCCUGUGGAAUUUUACAUGGAUAAUGAGUAAAAGACUGUCCUGCCAAUAGAGAAUACAGUGAAACGGUAUGGAACAUACACAGUGGAACAGAGGACACUGAUGGAACAGUGUUUAUAAGCACAAAGUUUGGAAGUACGGAAUCCUAGAUAAAAUCCUGACUGUGGAAUUAACUGCGUGACCUUCGGCAAAUUACUUCAUCUCUUUGAGCCUCAGUGUCUUCACAUAUAAAAUGAGAAUAAUAAAAGCCCUUGAUUGACUCCAGAAGAAGGAGAUGAAGAAGCCUAGAUUCCAUAAUGCGGGAGUCCCAGAUCCUCAAAGUACGAUGAUUCGCCAAAUCAAGAAAUGAGGAUUA
Molecule: long non-coding RNA, 697 nt
Filed under: Homo sapiens (human)
Lineage: Eukaryota; Metazoa; Chordata; Mammalia; Primates; Hominidae
Description: long non-coding RNA NONHSAT195851.1
Source: RNAcentral